Molecule: ribosomal RNA, 24 nt
Filed under: Pseudo-nitzschia delicatissima
Lineage: Eukaryota; Bacillariophyta; Bacillariophyceae; Bacillariales; Bacillariaceae
Description: partial 28S ribosomal RNA
Source: RNAcentral
CCGGAUCUCAGAUCAAGCAAGAUG